AACGAACGCUGGCGGCAUGCCUAACACAUGCAAGUCGAACGAUACCUUCGGGUCUAGUGGCGCACGGGUGCGUAACGCGUGGGAACCUGCCCUUAGGUUCGGAAUAACUCCCCGAAAGGGGUGCUAAUACCUGAUAAUGUCUUCGGACCAAUGAUUUAUCGCCUUUGGAUGGGCCCGCGUUGGAUUAGCUAGUUGGUAGGGUAAAAGCCUACCAAGGCGACGAUCCAUAGCUGGUCUGAGAGGAUGAUCAGCCACACUGGGACUGAGACACGGCCCAGACUCCUACGGGAGGCAGCAGUGGGGAAUAUUGGACAAUGGGCGAAAGCCUGAUCCAGCAAUGCCGCGUGAGUGAUGAAGGCCUUAGGGUUGUAAAGCUCUUUUACCCGGGAUGAUAAUGACAGUACCGGGAGAAUAAGCUCCGGCUAACUCCGUG
This 433-nucleotide ribosomal RNA is filed under the name uncultured bacterium. Its description in RNAcentral is "partial 16S ribosomal RNA". It matches the Rfam family "Bacterial small subunit ribosomal RNA", at positions 29 to 507 of the family's 1533-position model. The record is from RNAcentral.